Molecule: ribosomal RNA, 497 nt
Filed under: uncultured bacterium
Lineage: Bacteria
Description: partial 16S ribosomal RNA
Rfam family: Bacterial small subunit ribosomal RNA
Source: RNAcentral
GAUGAACGCUGGCGGCGUGCCUAAUACAUGCAAGUCGAGCGAACAGACGAGGAGCUUGCUCCUCUGAUGUUAGCGGCGGACGGGUGAGUAACACGUGGAUAACCUACCUAUAAGACUGGGAUAACUUCGGGAAACCGGAGCUAAUACCGGAUAACAUGUUGAACCGCAUGGUUCAACAGUGAAAGACGGUCUUGCUGUCACUUAUAGAUGGAUCCGCGCCGCAUUAGCUAGUUGGUAAGGUAACGGCUUACCAAGGCAACGAUGCGUAGCCGACCUGAGAGGGUGAUCGGCCACACUGGAACUGAGACACGGUCCAGACUCCUACGGGAGGCAGCAGUAGGGAAUCUUCCGCAAUGGGCGAAAGCCUGACGUAGCAACGCCGCGUGAGUGAAGAAGGUCUUCGGAUCGUAAAACUCUGUUAUUAGGGAAGAACAAAUGUGUAAGUAACUAUGCACGUCUUGACGGUACCUAAUCAGAAAGCCACGGCUAACUACGUG